This 324-nucleotide ribosomal RNA is filed under the name Clostridium botulinum. RNAcentral describes it as "partial 23S ribosomal RNA". It matches the Rfam family "Bacterial large subunit ribosomal RNA", at positions 1 to 326 of the family's 2925-position model. Lineage: Bacteria; Bacillati; Bacillota; Clostridia; Eubacteriales; Clostridiaceae. The record is from RNAcentral.
AUAGGUCAAGCUACAAAGGGCGCAUGGUGAAUGCCUUGGCAUCAGGAGCCGAUGAAGGACGCGAUAAGCUGCGAUAAGCUUCGGGUAGACGCACAUAGUCAGAGAUCCGAAGAUUUCCGAAUGAGGAAACUCACAUGGGAAACCCCAUGUAUCGUAAAGUGAAUACAUAGCUUUAUGAAGGUAAACCCAGGGAACUGAAACAUCUAAGUACCUGGAGGAAGAGAAAGAAAAAUCGAUUUUCUUAGUAGCGGCGAGCGAAAGGGAAAGAGCCCAAACCAAAGAUUUAUCUUUGGGGUUGCGGACAGAACAUUAACGAGAAAUUAU